AAGCUGGUACCAGGACUUCAGCUGGAACUGUCACAGCAUACUAUGUAAGUGCAAAAUCUCAUAUAAACAAGGUCAAAGUGACAGAAAACAAGACAUAAAACCAGUAACAACUCCAACUAUAACAAGGCUAAACCUGAAUGCUAAGAACACAGUACAAAAAUAACUAGUUUUUCUUCACUUGAACCAUUGCAGUUAUCAGCUUGCUGGAGAUAAGCAUGACUAGAUAGACUUUGAGUUCUUGGGGAAUUCAGCAGGACUGCCUUGCAUUGUCCACACCAACAUAUACACUCGAGGAGUUGGAAACAAAGAGCAGCAGUUCUACUUGUGGUUCGACCCAACUGCCGAUUUCCACAACUACACCAUACAUUGGAACCCAACUGAAAUUGUGUAAGUUACCCUGAUAUUAUAAAACUCCCUCCUGCUUUAUCAAAGCAUCAUCAUUACCCCUUGAUGUAUAUUACUAACAAUAAAACAAUCUACCAAAAAUUUCAAAACCUACAUAGAAAUUAAACAUUUCCUAUCUAAACUCUUACCAUACCUUCAGGUAGUACAUUGAUAAUCUGCCAAUAAUGAGUCUUCAGAAACUAUCAGAGCCAAGGUAUUGAUUACCCAAAUCAACAAGGGAUGAGGGUUUACUCCAGUUUGUGGAAUGCUGAUAACUGGGUAACUAGAGGUGGCCUUGUCAAGAUCGACUGGAAUAGUGCACCCUUCAUAGCCAGACUCUGUAACUUCCGGGCAAGGACUUGCAAGUGGGAUGGACCGUUUAGCACUGCUCAAUGUGCCUCCUCGUCCCCUGCCAACUGGUGGACUUCCCCCAAACACAAGCAGUAGAGUUUUGGUAAGCAGGGUCAGAUGAAGUGGGUUAGAGACAACUACAUGAUCUAUGACUAUUGCAAAGAUGCAAAGCGAUUCAAUGGACUGAUGCCUCCUGAAUGUAGCAAGGCACAAUACUAAGAAAAAUCAUCGAUGGCAGCAGCCAAACGGCAUCCUAAUUCAACAAUACCAACCCAAAAAAAAAAAAGAGCAAGCACCUUAUUUUCAAUUUUUCAGCAAGUCUUCUUCUUCUUUUAUCAUUUUUCUUUGUGAUCAAAUCAAUUUUUCUUCUCUUCAUUAUGUUUUUCUUUUUUGGAUUCUCCGAGAACAUCAAACAGAUUAAAUUCAUUCUUGUAUCCCACAAAUUGUAAUUCUUGCGGUCAAACAAAUGAACAAUACAGAGUUUUUGGAGAUAGAACUUUAAUGCUAAAGGCAAGCAUGUCGCAUCCAUUUAGAGCAAUCAGCAAAGACCUUUCAACUAGGUACAGGAAAAGCAAAAAAAAUAAACAGUAUCUUAGUAGUGGAACUUAAUUUUAUACAAGGAUCCUUCCAGUAAAUGGUGUACUAAAAUUUUGAGAAUCAAGCUGCUAUAAUAGCGUGCAGUUUUCCACAGCAAACCCAAAUUUGUAGCAAAUAUGACUUCAAUCAGAAAAUAUAUGACCUCUUUUGAAUUUGAAUAUGGUAUAACACGCUACGUUAUCAAUAUCAAAAUUUAGAACAGCAUACUACAUCUUGUUUCUUCUGCAUAACCUAUUAAAGAUAGGUUACUUAUAAGCAUCAUCUGGAUCUCUAUGCCUUGUUAAUGCUCCUGAUUUUGCUACUAUCAUAUGCACAUGAAAUGGCUUAGCCAGUUAGUCCUACUUUUUCUAAAUAGUUCACAUUUUGAAGGAUCCCCCUCACCGUCGAGACUGACUUAUAUUCCAAGUAAAGUUGUACCAUAAUAACCUAAUCCAGUGUAAGUUCAUCUCUGCUUUAACAUUCAAAGCUGCAACCUAAUGUAAGACUAUGUCAAUGAAAAUCAUUUGCCUCAAUUGUCAUUGGGUAAACUUAAGCUACAGUUUCAUUUCAGUAUCCAAGUGAAGUGUAUACCAUAGUUGUCCGAAGGUCAUAAUAUAGAAAAUGAACAAGGAUAUCGGGACUAUUACUGUUAAAAAAAUAUGACCAAAUUCAGUCUAAACAAAAUCUAGAACAAAUUAAAAAUAGAACUCAUUUGCAUCCAAAAAAGUGAUGCAAAACAUCUGAGCCAUGAUUGAUGCAAUGGGAGUUCGCGACCUUAAGUUCACUUAUUGUCCAUCAUAACAACAGAAUUCGAUCGUGAACCUCACAUAAGGAGCAACAGGUGUCACAUCAUAUAUAUCUGCAACUUAUAACUAAGCCUUUAAGAGGAGAAAUUUUUAACUCACAAGUUUUACAGCAUAACAAUGUAAGAAAAAUAGUUAGCUUGAGUAAGAGUCAGAUCAUCCAUAAUCAACAGAAGGGAAUCGAAAGGCAUUUAAAUAUCCAGAUCGAAUAAGAAAUUAACAGUUUAGUAACUCCAGUACUGCACCAACAACUAAAAAUAAAUGCAUCGUAAUCAUCUCACACCUAUAAUUCUUCAAAGUUCUCAUUUUUUCAGUGCAAUCUGAAACAAAGUAUAACACAUUCGGCCUAAAUCAGUAUAGGUUUAUUCCUGACAAAAUUUGAAUAUAUAAUUAAUACUUUUUCAUCUUCCAUUUAACGCCAUUCAGAUAGUAUCUAUAUCAUUGCUACUAACCACACAGAGGAUGCAAUAACACCAUAUAGAAUUGUUACUAGACCAUAGUAUAACCAUAAAAAGAAAGAAAGAACAAAAAGACCGUACUUUCGUUCUUUCUAAGUUUUACAAACAACCCAAUAGAUGUUGGGAAAAAUCACCUCCCAAAUACUGUUGUCUUUGAUAAAUUAGACUAAUAAAAUAUCAGUAUAUGCCAAACAGAUUAAACUUGCAGUUCCACUAAAAUAAUAACCACUGUAAGAAAAUAAAUAAGUAGAAAAUAUCAAACCACGAGACACCAAGAAUUUUACGUGGAAAACCCUCUAAAACUAAGAGGUAAAAAACCACGGGACGAUCUCCGAAAAAUCCACUAUAAUAAACUGAGAGAAUACAAAGAUAUCUUAAUUUGAGUACAAACUCAAAUUACUUCACCACAAUAACUAUGUGAUGGAACCCAAAUAAAACACUCUUUUAUUUGAACUACCUUUCUCUCUCUAUUUUCUAAAGCUUUACAGAAGCUUUUCUUCUCUCUUCUUUCUUACUCUCGGAUGGAGUAUGUAUUGAUGGGUGUCUUUUCUUCUUCCAUUUGCUGCCCCUUUUAUAGCAGAAUGGAGGAGGAUAGCAUAAUUAGUUUGGCAAGAUUUUCAACAAAGUAGGGAGCAAGAAAUCAAAGUUUGGCAAAAAGGAGAAAAGAAAUUCAAAAGUUGGCAGAAGUGGGUGAGGAGUACUUUUGACUAACAAUCUCCCCCCUCCGAACCCAUUAGAGGAGGUGAUCUCUGUGACCCUGUCACUUGGAGUCCAUCCCGACCAAUUCCUUGCAAAAUUCCAGCUUGUCACGAGUAACAACUUUUGUUAACAUGUCUGAGGGAUUCUCGUCAGUAUGAACUUUCUUCACUUUCAUCAAUUCCUUUUCCAUCACUUCUCGAAGCCAGUGAUAACGAACAUCAAUAUGUUUGGUCCGAUUAUGAUACGUGGCAUUCUUGGUCAAGUCAAUUGCACUCUGACUAUCACAAUAAACCACGUACUCAUCUUGUUUCAAACCCAACUCUUGGAGAAACCGUUUUAACCACAACAUCUCCUUGCCUGCUUCAGUAGCAGCGAUGUAUUCUGACUCAGUUGUAGACAAAGCAACACACUUUUGCAACUUGGACUGCCAUGAUACUGCUCCCCCUGCAAAAGUAAACAAAUACCCCGAAGUAGACUUCUUCUCUUCAGAACCUGCCAUGUCUGCAUCUGUAAAACCCUCCAAGACUGGACUCGUACUACCAAAAACCAAACAUAAACUGGAAGUAGCUUUCAAGUAUCUGAGAAUCCACUUAACUGCUUCCCAAUGUUCUCUGCCAGGAUUUGACAAAUACCUGCUCACAACGCCAACUGCAUGAGCAAUAUCUGGCCGCGUACAAACCAUUGCAUACAUAAGACUCCCUACAGCAGAGGAGUAGGGAACUGCUUCCAUAUCAUCUCUCCCUUCCUUGGUAGAAGGACACAUGCACUUUGUCAACUUAAUAUGACUAGCCAGUGGUGUGCUAACUGGUUUAGCAUCACUCAUGUUGAACCUUGCAAGCACCCGCUCAACAUACUUCUCUUGUGACAACCACAACCUCUUGGCUUUCCUGUCACGAACAAUCUUCAUACCCAAAAUCUGUUUAGCUGGACCCAAGUCCUUCAUAUCAAAGGACUUGAACAACUCACCCUUGAGCCUGCGAAUCAUAUCAGCAUCCUGCCCAACUAUCAACAUAUCAUCUACAUAUAACAACAGAAUAACGAAGUUACCAUCUGGGAACCUCUUGACAUACACACAAUGAUCUGCAAUUGUUCUACUAUAACCUUGAUCCACCAUAAAUGAAUCAAAUUUCAUGUACCACUGCCUUGGGGCUUGUUUCAGGCCGUACAAACUUUUCUUCAACUUGCAGACCAAGUGUUCUUUCCCUUUAACUUCAAAUCCCUCUGGCUGUUCCAUGUAGAUUUCUUCCUUCAAAUCACCAUGAAGAAAAGCAGUCUUAACAUCCAACUGCUCAAGCUCAAGAUCCAUACUAGCAACUAAUCCCAGCACUACUCGAAUAGAAGUCAUCUUUACGACUGGAGAAAAAAUCUCAUCGAAGUCAAUACCUUGCUUUUGAGCAAAACCCUUGACAACUAGUCGAGCCUUGUACUUUACUAGUUUAUCGCCAUCCUUCUUAAGCUUAAACACCCAUUUGUUCUUCAAUGUUUUCUUGCCUUUCGGAAGUGUAGUCAACUCAUAGGUGUGAUUCUUGUGCAAAGAAUCCAUCUCAUCUUGCAUAGCUCUCAGCCAAUUGCCCUUGUCCUUAUGAGUCUUGACUUCUUGAAAAUCCUCUGGCUCCCCCUCCUCAGCAACUAAAAGAUAUUCAGAUGAAGGAUAUCUGAUUGAUGGCACACGUUCUCUAGUGGAUCUUCUUAGCUGAGGUUCUUCAAUAUCAGGUUGCUCCCCCUGAUCAACACUCUCUGCAUCUGACCCAUCACCAUCGUGCAAGUCUGUAUCAGUCAUAUCUUCAUUCUGACCUCCUUCUCCAACUGUGGCAUUCUGUACUGGAGGAGGAACUUCGCUGAGGUCUGGAACUCUAUUAUCUCUGGGCUGUGUAGCAUUAUCAGAAUGCUCAUAAUUCUGGUGCUCAUGAAACACCACAUCUCUGCUCCUGAAUAAUUUCUUCUGUAUUGGAUCCCAUAACCGGUAUCCAAACUCUGCAUCUCCAUAGCCAACAAAUACACAUGGAGUAGAUUUGUCAUCAAGUUUCGAUCUUUGUUCCUUGGGGAUAUGUGCAAAAGCCUUGCACCCAAAUACCCUCAAAUAAGAAUAAGACAAAUCCUUACCACUCCAAAUCUUUUCUGGAAUCUGAAAAUCCAACGGUGCUGAUGGAGAUCUAUUAAUCAGGUAACAAGCAGUACGAACAGCUUCACCCCAGAAUGACUUAGAUAGUUUAGCCAUUCUCAACAUGCAUCGCACUCUCUCAAUAAUAGUGCGGUUCAUUCUCUCAGCCACACCAUUAUGCUGUGGGGUACCAGGAACAGUCUGCUCAUGCCGAAUGCCAUGCUUACUGCAAUAUUCAGCAAACUCCUUAGAAGUGUAUUCCCCUCCGUUGUCGCUACGAAGACACUUCAACGAUUUUCCAGUCUCCCUUUCAACCAUAGCAUGAAGACUCUGAAAAUGCUGGAAUACCUGGUCUUUUGUUCUCAACAAAAAUACCCACACCUUCUGCGAAGCAUCAUCAAUAAAGGUAACAAAGUACCUAUUUCCACCCAAAGACUCAACUCAAUGGGUCCACAUACAUCGGAAUAUAAUCUCUCUAAUAGUUCUGAUUUUCUUUUAGCUGAAGUACUAAAGGAGACUAUGUUGUUUCCCAAACAAACAAUAAUCACAAAGGCUUAAAACAGUACCUUUAGCAAAAGAAAUGAAUGACCUUUUUGCUAAUAACUGCAACCCUUUCUCACUCAUGUGGCCAAGCCUCUUAUGCAUCAAGUUUGGUGAAGAGUCAUCCUCAAUUGCAUUCAAUUCACUAGAACACAUCUUCACAUGAGUCUUGUACAACGAACAACAAGCAACUCCUCUUGCAAUCACCAUAGAGCCUUUGGUAAGCUUCCAUUUUCCACUGCCGAAGUGAUUCUCAUAGCCUUCUCUAUCCAAGGCCAUACCAGAAAUCAAGUUGAGACGCAAAUCUGGAACGUCUAACAUCCCUCAAGGUAACAGUGCAACCAACACCUGUCUGAAUGCAAACAUCACCAAUUCCAAUAAUCUUAGACUGAUCAGUAUUUCCCAUUCUCACGUACCCAAAGUCUCCAGCUUUGUAAGUUGUGAAAAAUUCUCUCUUAGGUGUAGCAUGAUACGAGGCACCAGUAUCAACCACCCAAUCAACUUUCUGAUCAUCAACGUGCAAGCAUUCUUCUUCCCCAAAUGAAAGAAUCACAACAUCUUCAGUGAUUGUGGCUGCAGUGUUCUUCUCCUCAACCUUUCCCUGCUCACCAUUUUUCUGCUUGUCUAACCAGAUUCUGCAAUUUCUCUUGUAAUGACCUUCCUUAUUAUAAUGGAAGCAUCUAUACGUUUCGCCUUGUCUGGUCUUUGACUUGCUCCUGUAAUUCUUGCUUUUGUUGCGACUUGUAUCUCCUUUGUGAGAUCCCCUAAAAUUGCUUCUACCCCUGUUCUCUGUGACAAGAGCAUGAGUCUCAAAAUUUACGUCUUGCUCCUUUCGCCUUGUCUCCUCAUUAUGAACACUAUCCUUGACCAUCUGCAUAGUCAUUUUUUCUCCUGGAGCUGAAUUGCUUAGAGACACCACCAAAGUCUCCUAGUUGUUUGGCAACGAACUGAGAAGCAAAAGAGCCUGAAUCUCAUCGUCAAGAUUCAACUUCAUGGUGGACAGCUGGUUCACUAAACCUUGGAACUCACUCAUAUGCUCCGACACACUGCUCCCGUCCUUGUACUUUAGAUUCACAAUUUUCCGAAUGACAAAAGUUUUAUUUUGUGCAUUCUUCUUCUCGUACAUAGACUCUAGUGUUGUCCAUAAANNNNNNNNNNNNNNNNNNNNNNNNNNNNNNNNNNNNNNNNNNNNNNNNNNNNNNNNNNNNNNNNNNNNNNNNNNNNNNNNNNNNNNNNNNNNNNNNNNNNNNNNNNNNACUGUAAGAAAAUAAAUAAGUAGAAAAUAUCAAACCACGAGACACCAAGAAUUUUACGUGGAAAACCCUCUAAAACUAAGAGGUAAAAAACCACGGGACGAUCUCCGAAAAAUCCACUAUAAUAAACUGAGAGAAUACAAAGAUAUCUUAAUUUGAGUACAAACUCAAAUUAUUUCACCACAAUAACUAUAUGAUGGAACCCAAAUAAAACACUCUUUUAUUUGAACUACCAUUCUCUCUCUAUUUUCUAAAGCUUUACAGAAGCUUUUCUUCUCUCUUCUUUCUUACUCUCGGAUGGAGUAUGUAUUGAUGGGUGUCUUUUCUUCUUCCAUUUGCUGCCCCUUUUAUAGCAGAAUGGAGGAGGAUAGCAUAAUUAGUUUGGCAAGAUUUUCAACAAAGUAGGGAGCAAGAAAUCAAAGUUUGGCAAAAAGGAGAAAAGAAAUUCAAAAAUUGGCAGAAGUGGGUGAGGAGUACUUUUGACUAACAAUAGAAAUUUCUGAAACACCGCAUUAUACAUAACAGAAGCUUCAUUCUUUUCCAAUUUCUCAGCAUCCAAACAGAGUUUGAUCCAACAAAUUACAAGGGUCAUUUCAAAAUUUCCCAAUGAAACACUGAUGAAAAAACAGAAAUUACAAAGCAACCAAGUAAUCAAUCACAUAAUACAAAUAUAAACACCAAGAACAAUAAGAAAUGUACCAAACAAAGCCAGCCAAACACGAGUUUCCUCACCCAAUAGCAACCCAAACAAGGCAGUAGCAGCAAACGUCGUCGCAUUGGUCACCGGAACAGCAACCGAUAUGGGGGUAUCACUUAAAAUAGCGAAAAAGGUAGCCGAGGCUGAUAAAUUCAACAGGAAAGGAA
RNAcentral lists this long non-coding RNA (8029 nucleotides) under Panax ginseng (ginseng). Its description in RNAcentral is "long non-coding RNA (PGIN_LNC007746)". Lineage: Eukaryota; Viridiplantae; Streptophyta; Magnoliopsida; Apiales; Araliaceae. The record is from RNAcentral.